RNAcentral lists this ribosomal RNA (237 nucleotides) under uncultured Lactobacillus sp. RNAcentral's name for it is "partial 16S ribosomal RNA". It matches the Rfam family "Bacterial small subunit ribosomal RNA", at positions 125 to 354 of the family's 1533-position model. Lineage: Bacteria; Bacillati; Bacillota; Bacilli; Lactobacillales; Lactobacillaceae. The record is from RNAcentral.
CCUGCCCAAGAGAUCGGGAUAACACCUGGAAACAGAUGCUAAUACCGGAUAACAACAGAUGAUGCCUAUCAACUGUUUAAAAGAUGGUUCUGCUAUCACUCUUGGAUGGACCUGCGGUGCAUUAGCUAGUUGGUAGGGUAACGGCAUACCAAGGCGAUGAUGCAUAGCCGAGUUGAGAGACUGAUCGGCCACAUUGGGACUGAGACACGGCCCAAACUCCUACGGGAGGCAGCAGGA